CUGAAAACAGUUUCGGUUUCAUUUCUACGCAGAGCUGCAGCUCGUUUUUCUGGCUACAAGUCUGCGGUGUGUAAUGCUCCGUCUGUGGGUCCAGGUGAAAUACAGAAACUGCUGCUGAGCUGUGUGAGUGAACAGACACUGUGGUCCACUCAGCCAUGAGUCAGUGUGACACAGAGGAGGGGGGCACACCAUCUAAACAUGCCAAGAGCAUGGAAGACUGCCUGGACAAUGAAGCUACGGGGAUGCUGAAGCAGUUAGCAGGCUCUCCUCUGUCCAGCUCUAUGUCCAUGAAAAGUGACUGGUCUAUGGACCCGCCUUUAAAUUUCAAAGAAGGGAACCUCUCUGUUGA
Neolamprologus brichardi is the source of this 349-nucleotide non-coding RNA. The record is from RefSeq and is a predicted model, not a curated record. Lineage: Eukaryota; Metazoa; Chordata; Actinopteri; Cichliformes; Cichlidae.